This 1424-nucleotide ribosomal RNA is filed under the name metagenome. RNAcentral describes it as "bacterial LSU rRNA". It matches the Rfam family "Bacterial large subunit ribosomal RNA", at positions 1428 to 2880 of the family's 2925-position model. The record is from RNAcentral.
UGUUAAUAUUCCGAUACCAAUCUAUCAGGUAUGGGGUGACGGAGUAGUGUAGGUAACGCGCACGAACGGUAUGUGCGUUGAAUCCGAAAGAGUAAGAGUAUUUACAGGCAAAUCCGUAAAUAUAUCGAAAAGGAGAGAGUACGAAUAAUCUACGGAGCGUUCGAUAGUUUACCGUGUUACUUCCAAGAAAAACCUCGUUACGAUAAGCGAUAGAUUGCCCGUACCGUAAACCGACACAGGUGGUCGAGGAGAGUAUCCUCAGGCGCUCGAGUGAAUCACGGCUAAGGAACUAGGCAAAUUAACCCUGUAACUUCGGGAAAAGGGGUACCUACUUAGCGAUAAGAGGUCUCAGUAAAAAGGCCCAGGCGACUGUUUAACAAAAACACAGGACUCUGCGAAGCCGCAAGGCACAGUAUAGGGUCUGACACCUGCCCGGUGCCGGAAGGUUAAGAGGGGGUCUCAGCGCAAGCGAAGGACUGAAUCGAAGCCCCGGUAAACGGCGGCCGUAACUAUAACGGUCCUAAGGUAGCGAAAUUCCUUGUCGGGUAAGUUCCGACCUGCACGAAUGGUGUAACGAUCUGGGCACUGUCUCAGCCGUGAGCUCGGUGAAAUUGUAUUCCCGGUGAAGAUGCCGGGUACCCGCCACGGGACGGAAAGACCCCGUGAACCUUUACUAUAACUUUGCACUGUUUUUGGGUACCGGAUGUGUAGGAUAGGUGGGAGUAAUUGAAGAGUCGUCGUCAGGCGAUUUGGAUACGCCGUUGAAAUACCACCCUUCUGUUAUUCGAAAACUAACCCGAUAGGGGACACUGCAUGGCGGGUAGUUUGACUGGGGUGGUCGCCUCCGAAAGGGUAUCGGAGGCUUUCAAAGGUACCCUCAGCACGGUCGGUAAUCGUGCGCAGAGUGCAACAGCACAAGGGUGCUUGACUGUGAGACAAACAGGUCGAGCAGGGACGAAAGUCGGAUGUAGUGAUCCGGUGGUUUCGCAUGGAGGAGCCAUCGCUCAAAGGAUAAAAGGUACUCCGGGGAUAACAGGCUGAUCUCCCCCAAGAGCUCAUAUCGACGGGGGGGUUUGGCACCUCGAUGUCGGCUCGUCACAUCCCGGGGCUGGAGAAGGUUCCAAGGGUUCGGCUGUUCGCCGAUUAAAGUGGCACGCGAGCUGGGUUCAGAACGUCGUGAGACAGUUCGGUCCCUAUCUGUGGUGGGCGUAGGAAGUUUGAGGGAAGCUGACGUUAGUACGAGAGGACCGCGUCGGACCGACCGCCGGUGUGCCUGUUGUGUUGCCAAAUGCAGAGCAGGGUAGCUGUGUCGGAGACAGAUAAGCGCUGAAAGCAUCUAAGCGCGAAACUCAGCCCAAGAUAAAACUUCCCCAAAGGGGCGUAAAAGACGAUUACGUAGAUAGGCUGCAGGUGUAAAAGCAGAG